GAUGAAGAACGCAGCGAAAUGCGAUAAGUAAUGCGAAUUGCAGAAUUCAGUGAGUCAUCGAAUCUUUGAACGCACAUUGCGCCCUGUGGUAUUCCGCAGGGCAUGCCUGUUCGAGCGUCAUUUCAACCCUCAAGCCCCGCUUGGUGUUGGGCCCCGCCCGCUGUGGCCGGCCCUAAAGACAGUGGCGGCGCCGCCUGGCCCUCAGCGUAGUACAUCUCUCGCUCCAGGGUCCGGUGGCCGCCUGCCAGAACCCCCCAACUCUGUGGUUGACCUCGGAUCAGGUAGGGAUACCCGCUGAACUUAAGCAUAUCAAUAAGCGGAGGA
RNAcentral lists this unclassified non-coding RNA (324 nucleotides) under soil metagenome. RNAcentral describes it as "partial contains 5.8S ribosomal RNA, internal transcribed spacer 2, and large subunit ribosomal RNA". The stretch from base 1 to 120 matches the Rfam family "5.8S ribosomal RNA", at positions 35 to 154 of the family's 154-position model. The record is from RNAcentral.